ACGAACGCUGGCGGCGUGCUUAACACAUGCAAGUCGAGCGAGGCCCCUCCUUCGGGAGGGUGACCUAGCGGCGAACGGGUGAGUAACACGUGGGCAAUCUGCCCCUAGCUCUGGGGAUAACCCCGGGAAACCGGGGCUAAUACUGGAUAUGACUUCGGAGGGCAUCCUCCGCGGUGGAAAAGGUUUACUGGCUAGGGAUGAGCCCGCGGCCUAUCAGCUUGUUGGUGGGGUAAAGCCUACCAAGGCGACGACGGGUAGCCGGCCUGAGAGGGCGACCGGCCACACUGGGACUGAGACACGGCCCAGACUCCUACGGGAGGCAGCAGUGGGGAAUAUUGCACAAUGGGCGAAAGCCUGAUGCAGCGACGCCGCGUGA
Molecule: ribosomal RNA, 376 nt
Filed under: uncultured bacterium
Lineage: Bacteria
Description: bacterial SSU rRNA
Rfam family: Bacterial small subunit ribosomal RNA
Source: RNAcentral